AUUGAACGCUGGCGGCAUGCCUUACACAUGCAAGUCGAACGGUAACGCGGGGCAACCUGGCGACGAGUGGCGAACGGGUGAGUAAUACAUCGGAACGUGCCCAGUAGUGGGGAUAGCCCGGCGAAAGCCGGAUUAAUACCGCAUACGACCUACGGGUGAAAGCGGGGGAGUCGCAAGACCUCGCGCUAUUGGAGCGGCCGAUGUCAGAUUAGCUAGUUGGUGGGGUAAAAGCCUACCAAGGCGACGAUCUGUAGCUGGUCUGAGAGGACGACCAGCCACACUGGGACUGAGACACGGCCCAGACUCCUACGGGAGGCAGCAGUGGGGAAUUUUGGACAAUGGGGGGCAACCCUGAUCCAGCCAUGCCGCGUGCGGGAAGAAGGCCUUC
This 388-nucleotide ribosomal RNA is filed under the name uncultured bacterium. RNAcentral describes it as "bacterial SSU rRNA". It matches the Rfam family "Bacterial small subunit ribosomal RNA", at positions 29 to 419 of the family's 1533-position model. The record is from RNAcentral.